ACCCCCAUUAAUUAAUGUUAAUUUAAAUUCCUAAGCCCAAUUCCUCACACAAAUAAUUAGUCCUUAACCUACUCUGAUUAAGCCCAAUCGCCAUCAAUCUUCUACAUCUUUCGAACCCUAUCCUCCCGCCAAAGACACCAGAUCCAUUUCUAUGUUCACGCUAUUCUCCAAUGGAAUAAGCGCAUGAAUCUCACCGCAGUCAAAGACGCCGACGAAGUCAUGGAAAGGCACGUCGAGGACUCGCUCACGAUCCUCCCUCCUUUUAGGGAUUGCUACCGCACGUGCUGCGGCGGCGCGUCGUCACAUGAGAGGCUUAGCCUCAUGGACGUUGGAACGGGUGCUGGUAUUCCCGGAGUUGUUUUGGCCAUAGCUUGUCCAGGUUAGAGUGAUUCCUAAAGCUCUGUUGCAUCAUGAGGUACAAUUCCAUCCUGAUGUGUCAACUACUAUGGUUGUAAAGCCUGGCCCUUUACUGGACUUCCUUUGUGAGAAUAAGAAUGUGAAGCAUCCAAAUCUUAUUGAUUGGACCAAGGUAAUAUUGCUAUCUUAUUUUAAUUAUAUCAAGGUUAUGAUGUUUGUGUGUAUUGAAUGUGAUGCUUUGUUUUUGUUUACUUUCAAGCAAAAAGAGUGCUGAAAAACCUCAAAAUCAAGGCUAAUAAAAAAAAUCAGUGAACUCAGUGAUAAUCCUUACAGGACUCAAAAUAGCUCUGAGUGUGGCUACAAUAGGAUUGAGUGUGACACCAAGUUUCAAUGUGUUACAAUAUGGAGCAGUUGAAAAUGGACAAACCAACGAUUCACCGGUAACUAAUAACUUUAUUUGAAUUACAUUUCUUAUCCCAAUCAAAUAUUAAUAAAGAUAUAUGCAUAGGCAUUUGAGAAGGUGUGGAAAGCAGUGUGCUCAAGCAAGGGAGAUAUAUCUAAGCUUAUAAUACUAGCAGGCAAGACCUUCAUGCUAAAGCUUCUUUCCUUCAACGGUCCAUGCAAAUCUAAGCUUAAGGCACCUUGAUUUCAUUGCAGCGGUACACCAAGGCAUUGACAAAUUUACAAAGGGCUCAAUUAGUUUACUCGGGUUGAAGGUCAUAUUCUACAGCCCCCAAAACUUGUAGUUGGAAAUGAGGAGAGCUUCAUUCCAAAGGAAACCAGUUAAACCUAUGAGGAUUGAGCGCUGGACCGUUGUAAACUUCUCAGCUCACUGUGCACACGUUUUCUGUGUAAUACUAUCAAGAAAUGUGCUGAAAUGAAGGGCAUUGUAAGAGUUCUAUGGCUAAUUUAGUAGUUUGUUGAUGUUGUGAUACAUCAUUCUUUUGUCACUUUUGGUUUCUUUUGAAAAACAAUAAUAGUUAUGUAGAAUAAUACCAUAUAUAAUUAUGUUUGGAACUAUUGACAUUAAGAAUUUUUUUUAUAUAUAGAAUUAAGUCUUAUAU
This is a non-coding RNA of Arachis ipaensis, 1421 nucleotides long. The record is from RefSeq and is a predicted model, not a curated record. Lineage: Eukaryota; Viridiplantae; Streptophyta; Magnoliopsida; Fabales; Fabaceae.